UACGGAGGUGGCAAGCGUUGUCCGGAAUUAUUGGGCGUAAAGGGCUUGUAGGCGGUUUGUCGCGUCCGGAGUGAAAACCUUGGGCUUAACUCAGGGCUUGCUUUCGAUACGGGCAGACUAGAGGUAUGCAGGGGAGAACGGAAUUCCUGGUGUAGCGGUGAAAUGCGCAGAUAUCAGGAGGAACACCGGUGGCGAAGGCGGACCUCUGGGCCUUCCCUGACGCUGAGGCACGAAAGCUAGGGGAGCGAACAGG
RNAcentral lists this ribosomal RNA (253 nucleotides) under uncultured bacterium. Its description in RNAcentral is "partial 16S ribosomal RNA". It matches the Rfam family "Bacterial small subunit ribosomal RNA", at positions 524 to 776 of the family's 1533-position model. The record is from RNAcentral.